GAUGAAGAUCGCAGCGAAAUGCGAUAAGUAGUGUGAAUUGCAGAAUUCAGUGAAUCAUCGAAUCUUUGAACGCACAUUGCGCCCCUUGGUACUCCAUGGGGCAUGCCUGUUCGAGCGUCAUUUACACCCUCAAGCUCUGCUUGGUGUUGGGCGUCUGUCCCGCUUCGUGCGCGGACUCGCCUCAAAUGCAUUGGCAGCGGUCUUGCCAGCUUCUCGCGCAGCACAUUGCGCUUCUAGAGGCUUUGGCGGAUCGGCGUCCAUCAAGUACACCCACAGUUUGACCUCGGAUCAGGUAGGGAUACCCGCUGAACUUAAGCAUAUCAAUAAGCGGAGGA
RNAcentral lists this unclassified non-coding RNA (335 nucleotides) under soil metagenome. RNAcentral describes it as "partial contains 5.8S ribosomal RNA, internal transcribed spacer 2, and large subunit ribosomal RNA". The stretch from base 1 to 120 matches the Rfam family "5.8S ribosomal RNA", at positions 35 to 154 of the family's 154-position model. The record is from RNAcentral.